Molecule: microRNA precursor, 102 nt
Filed under: Marmota monax (woodchuck)
Lineage: Eukaryota; Metazoa; Chordata; Mammalia; Rodentia; Sciuridae
Source: RNAcentral
AGUGGGAUAACUGGGUCAAAUGGUGUUCCACUCCAAGUUUUCUAAGGAAUCUUCAUACUGCUUGCCAUAGUGGUUACACCAAUUUAUAGUCCCACCAGCAAU